RNAcentral lists this transfer RNA (90 nucleotides) under Hyphococcus sp. Its description in RNAcentral is "tRNA-Ser". It matches the Rfam family "tRNA". From Rfam's summary of the family: Transfer RNA (tRNA) molecules are approximately 80 nucleotides in length. Their secondary structure includes four short double-helical elements and three loops (D, anti-codon, and T loops). Lineage: Bacteria; Pseudomonadati; Pseudomonadota; Alphaproteobacteria; Parvularculales; Parvularculaceae. The record is from RNAcentral.
GGACAGGUGGCCGAGUGGCUUAAGGCGCACGCUUGGAAAGCGUGUGAGCGUGAGAGCGUUCCGAGGGUUCGAAUCCCUCUCUGUCCGCCA